GUGGGGAAUAUUGGACAAUGGGCGCAAGCCUGAUCCAGCCAUGCCGCGUGAGUGAUGAAGGCCUUAGGGUUGUAAAGCUCUUUCACCGAUGAAGAUAAUGACGGUAGUCGGAGAAGAAGCCCCGGCUAACUUCGUGCCAGCAGCCGCGGUAAUACGAAGGGGGCUAGCGUUGUUCGGAUUUACUGGGCGUAAAGCGCACGUAGGCGGUUUGUUAAGUCAGAGGUGAAAUCCCGGAGCUCAACUCCGGAACUGCCUUUGAUACUGGCAAGCUAGAGUCCGGAAGAGGUAAGUGGAACUCCUAGUGUAGAGGUGGAAUUCGUAGAUAUUAGGAAGAACACCAGUGGCGAAGGCGGCUUACUGGUCCGGAACUGACGCUGAGGUGCGAAAGCGUGGGGAGCAAACAGGAUUAGAAACCCCAGUAGUCC
RNAcentral lists this ribosomal RNA (425 nucleotides) under uncultured bacterium. Its description in RNAcentral is "bacterial SSU rRNA". It matches the Rfam family "Bacterial small subunit ribosomal RNA", at positions 354 to 796 of the family's 1533-position model. The record is from RNAcentral.